This 148-nucleotide unclassified non-coding RNA is filed under the name uncultured Ascomycota. RNAcentral's name for it is "sequence contains ITS2". Lineage: Eukaryota; Fungi; Ascomycota. The record is from RNAcentral.
CAACCAUCAAGCCCCAGGCUUGUUUUGGGGGCCUGCAGCUGCUGCAGCCCCCUAAAAGCGGUGGCGGACUCGCUGUCAUUCCGAGCGCAGUAGUUACAUCUCGCUCUGGGCAUGGCGGCGGGCACCUGCCGUGAAACACUCUUUCUAA